RNAcentral lists this unclassified non-coding RNA (238 nucleotides) under air metagenome. Its description in RNAcentral is "partial contains small subunit ribosomal RNA, internal transcribed spacer 1, and 5.8S ribosomal RNA". The stretch from base 1 to 46 matches the Rfam family "Eukaryotic small subunit ribosomal RNA", at positions 1786 to 1831 of the family's 1831-position model. The record is from RNAcentral.
AAGUCGUAACAAGGUCUCCGUUGGUGAACCAGCGGAGGGAUCAUUACGAGAGUGUCACCACUCCCAACCCAUUGUUUACCUACCCGUCCACCGUGCUUCGGCAGGCAGUCCUGUGGGACAGGGCCUCGCCCCCGCGAGGGGGUGCCUGCCGCUGGCCAACCAAAAUUCUAGCUGUUUUUGUACUAUCUGAGUCUUCCACAAAUAAACAAAACUUUCAACAACGGAUCUCUUGGUUCUG